This 466-nucleotide ribosomal RNA is filed under the name uncultured bacterium. RNAcentral describes it as "partial 16S ribosomal RNA". It matches the Rfam family "Bacterial small subunit ribosomal RNA", at positions 28 to 505 of the family's 1533-position model. The record is from RNAcentral.
GACGAACGCUGGCGGCGUGCUUAACACAUGCAAGUCGAACGGAAAGGCCCUGCUUUUGUGGGGUGCUCGAGUGGCGAACGGGCGAGUAACACGUGAGUAACCUGCCCUUGACUUUGGGAUAACUUCAGGAAACUGGGGCUAAUACCGGAUAGGAGCUCCUGCUGCAUGGUGGGGGUUGGAAAGUUUCGGCGGUUGGGGAUGGACUCGCGGCUUAUCAGCUUGUUGGUGGGGUAGUGGCUUACCAAGGCUUUGACGGGUAGCCGGCCUGAGAGGGUGACCGGCAACAUGGGGACUGAGAUACGGCCAGGACGCCUAGGGGAGGAAGAAGGGGGGAAUAUUGAACAAUGGGGGGAAGCUGGAGGCAGCAAGGCCGCGGGCGGGAUGAAGGCCUUCGGGUGGUAAACCGAUUUCGCCGGUGACGAAGCGUGAGUGACGGUAAUGGGUAAAGAAGAACCGGCUAACUACG